AUGAUGCUGAAAGCAAAGAAGGAAAUCCCUGCUCCUCCCAAAGCCAAAUCCAAAGCUAAGGCUUUUAAGGCCAGCAAGGCAGUGUUGAAAGGCAUCCAGUCACACACACAAAAAAAUAUCUGCAGGUCACCUAUGUUCCAGUAGCCCAACACACUUUGGCUUUGAAGGUAGCCCAAACAUCCUCAGUAGAGAACCUGCAGGAUAUACAAGCUGGACUAUUAUGCCAUCAAGUUCCCCUUGACCACUGAGCUGACCAUGAAGAAGACAAUACCACAUCUGUGUUCACUGUGGUUAUCAAAGCCAACAAGCACCAGAUCAAACAGGCUAUAUGAAGGUCUGUGACACUGACAUGACCACGAUCAACACCCUAAUCAGGACUGAUGGAGAGAAGGCAGCCUAUGUUUGACUGGCUCCUAACUAUGAUGUUUUGGAUGUUGCCAGUAAAACUGGGAUAACCUAA
RNAcentral lists this long non-coding RNA (460 nucleotides) under Homo sapiens (human). RNAcentral describes it as "non-protein coding lnc-PPP2R3C-1:1". Lineage: Eukaryota; Metazoa; Chordata; Mammalia; Primates; Hominidae. The record is from RNAcentral.